GCCCGGUUAGCUCAAUCGGUAGAGCGUGAGACUCUUAAUCUCAAGGUUGCGGGUAAGUUACAGUCCAACAUUCAGUUCGACAAUCUACUAACAGCCUGGAUCAGGUUCGACCCCCGCAUCGGGCU
Xylaria curta is the source of this 125-nucleotide non-coding RNA. The record is from the annotation of a GenBank genome assembly. Lineage: Eukaryota; Fungi; Ascomycota; Sordariomycetes; Xylariales; Xylariaceae.